RNAcentral lists this ribosomal RNA (457 nucleotides) under Herbaspirillum lusitanum. RNAcentral's name for it is "bacterial SSU rRNA". It matches the Rfam family "Bacterial small subunit ribosomal RNA", at positions 250 to 699 of the family's 1533-position model. The record is from RNAcentral. Lineage: Bacteria; Pseudomonadati; Pseudomonadota; Betaproteobacteria; Burkholderiales; Oxalobacteraceae.
UGGUGGGGUAAAAGCUCACCAAGGCGACGAUCAGUAGCUGGUCUGAGAGGACGACCAGCCACACUGGAACUGAGACACGGUCCAGACUCCUACGGGAGGCAGCAGUGGGGAAUUUUGGACAAUGGGCGCAAGCCUGAUCCAGCAAUGCCGCGUGAGUGAAGAAGGCCUUCGGGUUGUAAAGCUCUUUUGUCAGGGAAGAAACGGGUGAGGUUAAUACCUUUGCCUAAUGACGGUACCUGAAGAAUAAGCACCGGCUAACUACGUGCCAGCAGCCGCGGUAAUACGUAGGGUGCAAGCGUUAAUCGGAAUUACUGGGCGUAAAGCGUGCGCAGGCGGUUAUACAAGACAGAUGUGAAAUCCCCGGGCUCAACCUGGGAAUUGCAUUUGUGACUGUAUGGCUAGAGUGUGUCAGAGGGGGGUAGAAUUCCACGUGUAGCAGUGAAAUGCGUAGAUAUGU